AGUGGGCGGCGUAGAGCACUGCAGCAGCAAUGACGGAGGGCACGUGUCUGCGGCGCCGAGGGGGCCCCUACAAGACCGAGCCCGCCACCGACCUCGGCCGCUGGCGACUCAACUGCGAGAGGGGCCGGCAGACGUGGACCUACCUGCAGGACGAGCGCGCCGGCCGCGAGCAGACCGGCCUGGAAGCCUACGCCCUGGGGCUGGACACCAAGAAUUACUUUAAGGACUUGCCCAAAGCCCACACCGCCUUUGAGGGGGCUCUGAACGGGAUGACAUUUUACGUGGGGCUGCAGGCUGAGGAUGGGCACUGGACGGGUGAUUAUGGUGGCCCACUUUUCCUCCUGCCAGGUAGGAGUAUGCUACCCCAGACUGAUGGUAUGGCCACCCUGGAUCACCCUUGCGAUCCUGGCCCAGCCUGGUCUAGGGUUUUGAUGAAGCAGGUGAAAAUCCAGGGGCUCACAAGAAAAGGGCUGGCAAACUCUGCCCUAUGUCAGAGUCGUCCUGCUAUUGGUAUAGGGGAUCAGCUAGCCUUGCCAGUGUAGGGUGACAGGCUCUCUGAUAAGAGAAGCAAGUGGUUCUCU
This 581-nucleotide small RNA is filed under the name Pan troglodytes (chimpanzee). RNAcentral's name for it is "processed transcript". The record is from RNAcentral. Lineage: Eukaryota; Metazoa; Chordata; Mammalia; Primates; Hominidae.